RNAcentral lists this transfer RNA (73 nucleotides) under Ailuropoda melanoleuca (giant panda). It matches the Rfam family "tRNA". Rfam says of the family: Transfer RNA (tRNA) molecules are approximately 80 nucleotides in length. Their secondary structure includes four short double-helical elements and three loops (D, anti-codon, and T loops). The record is from Rfam by way of RNAcentral. Lineage: Eukaryota; Metazoa; Chordata; Mammalia; Carnivora; Ursidae.
GCCUGGCUGUUUCAGUUGGUAGAAAAUGUGACUCCUGAUCUCAGCGUUGUGAGUUCAAGCCCCAUGUUGGGUG